GGUUAAGCGACUAAGCGUACACGGUGGAUGCCCUGGCAGUCAGAGGCGAUGAAGGACGUGCUAAUCUGCGAAAAGCGUCGGUAAGGUGAUAUGAACCGUUAUAACCGGCGAUGUCCGAAUGGGGAAACCCAGUGUGAUUCGUCACACUAUCGUUAACUGAAUACAUAGGUUAACGAGGCGAACCGGGGGAACUGAAACAUCUAAGUACCCCGAGGAAAAGAAAUCAACCGAGAUUCCCCCAGUAGCGGCGAGCGAACGGGGAGCAGCCCAGAGUCUGAAUCAGCUUGUGUGUUAGUGGAACGGUCUGGAAAGUCCGACGGUACAGGGUGAUAGUCCCGUACACCAAAAUGCACAGGCUGUGAACUCGAAGAGUAGGGCGGGACACGUGGUAUCCUGUCUGAAUAUGGGGGGACCAUCCUCCAAGGCUAAAUACUCCUGACUGACCGAUAGUGAACCAGUACCGUGAGGGAAAGGCGAAAAGAACCCCGGCGAGGGGAGUGAAAAAGAACCUGAAACCGUGUACGUACAAGCAGUGGGAGCACCUUCGGGUGUGACUGCGUACCUUUUGUAUAAUGGGUCAGCGACUUAUAUUCUGUAGCAAGGUUAACCGUAUAGGGGAGCCGCAGGGAAACCGAGUCUUAACUGGGCGUUAAGUUGCAGGGUAUAGACCCGAAACCCGGUGAUCUAGCCAUGGGCAGGUUGAAGGUUGGGUAACACUAACUGGAGGACCGAACCGACUAAUGUUGAAAAAUUAGCGGAUGACUUGUGGCUGGGGGUGAAAGGCCAAUCAAACCGGGAGAUAGCUGGUUCUCCCCGAAAGCUAUUUAGGUAGCGCCUCGUGAAUUCAUCUUCGGGGGUAGAGCACUGUUUCGGCUAGGGGGUCAUCCCGACUUACCAACCCGAUGCAAACUACGAAUACCGAAGAAUGUUAUCACGGGAGACACACGGCGGGUGCUAACGUCCGUCGUGAAGAGGGAAACAACCCAGACCGCCAGCUAAGGUCCCAAAGUCAUGGUUAAGUGGGAAACGAUGUGGGAAGGCACAGACAGCCAGGAUGUUGGCUUAGAAGCAGCCAUCAUUUAAAGAAAGCGUAAUAGCUCACUGGUCGAGUCGGCCUGCGCGGAAGAUGUAACGGGGCUAAACCAUGCACCGAAGCUGCGGCAGCGACACUAUGUGUUGUUGGGUAGGGGAGCGUUCUGUAAGCCUGCGAAGGUGUGCUGUGAGGCAUGCUGGAGGUAUCAGAAGUGCGAAUGCUGACAUAAGUAACGAUAAAGCGGGUGAAAAGCCCGCUCGCCGGAAGACCAAGGGUUCCUGUCCAACGUUAAUCGGGGCAGGGUGAGUCGACCCCUAAGGCGAGGCCGAAAGGCGUAGUCGAUGGGAAACAGGUUAAUAUUCCUGUACUUGGUGUUACUGCGAAGGGGGGACGGAGAAGGCUAUGUUAGCCGGGCGACGGUUGUCCCGGUUUAAGCAUGUAGGCUGGUUGUCCAGGCAAAUCCGGAUAAUCAAGGCUGAGGUGUGAUGACGAGGCACUACGGUGCUGAAGUAACAAAUGCCCUGCUUCCAGGAAAAGCCUCUAAGCAUCAGGUAACAUUAAAUCGUACCCCAAACCGACACAGGUGGUCAGGUAGAGAAUACCAAGGCGCUUGAGAGAACUCGGGUGAAGGAACUAGGCAAAAUGGUGCCGUAACUUCGGGAGAAGGCACGCUGGUGUGUAGGUGAAGUCCCUGCGGAUGGAGCUGAGACCAGUCGAAGAUACCAGCUGGCUGCAACUGUUUAUUAAAAACACAGCACUGUGCAAACACGAAAGUGGACGUAUACGGUGUGACGCCUGCCCGGUGCCGGAAGGUUAAUUGAUGGGGUUAUCCGUAAGGAGAAGCUCUUGAUCGAAGCCCCGGUAAACGGCGGCCGUAACUAUAACGGUCCUAAGGUAGCGAAAUUCCUUGUCGGGUAAGUUCCGACCUGCACGAAUGGCGUAAUGAUGGCCAGGCUGUCUCCACCCGAGACUCAGUGAAAUUGAACUCGCUGUGAAGAUGCAGUGUACCCGCGGCAAGACGGAAAGACCCCGUGAACCUUUACUAUAGCUUGACACUGAACAUUGAGCCUUGAUGUGUAGGAUAGGUGGGAGGCUUUGAAGCGUGGACGCCAGUCUGCGUGGAGCCAACCUUGAAAUACCACCCUUUAAUGUUUGAUGUUCUAACGUUGGCCCCUUACCGGGGUUGCGGACAGUGUCUGGUGGGUAGUUUGACUGGGGCGGUCUCCUCCCAAAGCGUAACGGAGGAGCACGAAGGUUAGCUAAUCCUGGUCGGACAUCAGGAGGUUAGUGCAAUGGCAUAAGCUAGCUUGACUGCGAGCGUGACGGCGCGAGCAGGUGCGAAAGCAGGUCAUAGUGAUCCGGUGGUUCUGAAUGGAAGGGCCAUCGCUCAACGGAUAAAAGGUACUCCGGGGAUAACAGGCUGAUACCGCCCAAGAGUUCAUAUCGACGGCGGUGUUUGGCACCUCGAUGUCGGCUCAUCACAUCCUGGGGCUGAAGUAGGUCCCAAGGGUAUGGCUGUUCGCCAUUUAAAGUGGUACGCGAGCUGGGUUUAGAACGUCGUGAGACAGUUCGGUCCCUAUCUGCCGUGGGCGCUGGAGAAUUGAGGGGGGCUGCUCCUAGUACGAGAGGACCGGAGUGGACGCAUCACUGGUGUUCGGGUUGUCAUGCCAAUGGCACUGCCCGGUAGCUAAAUGCGGAAGAGAUAAGUGCUGAAAGCAUCUAAGCACGAAACUUGCCCCGAGAUGAGUUCUCCCUGAGACUUUAAGUCUCCUGAAGGAACGUUAAAGACGAUGACGUUGAUAGGCCGGGUGUGUAAGCGCAGCGAUGCGUUGAGCUAACCGGUACUAAUGAACCGUGAGGCUUAACCUU
RNAcentral lists this ribosomal RNA (2902 nucleotides) under Klebsiella pneumoniae. Its description in RNAcentral is "23S ribosomal RNA". It matches the Rfam family "Bacterial large subunit ribosomal RNA". Lineage: Bacteria; Pseudomonadati; Pseudomonadota; Gammaproteobacteria; Enterobacterales; Enterobacteriaceae. The record is from RNAcentral.